GCCUGAGGUUCUCCUCUAAAACCUGCCUCUUUAUGAGUUACAAUUGUGUAGAUGGGUAAUGCUCAAUUGGUGAUUGCAAGCCGCCAAUAAAAAAUGAAUAAGAAGUUUUUGCAGACAGCUGCAACCUGUUUUGUUUUGUUUUUUUGUUGUUGUUUUAAUUAAACUACGGAGGGUCAUCUUGAUUAAUUUAAGACAGUACAAACCAGCUCUUCAUCGUGUUAAUUGAGCCGUGGACCUUCAUCUUAGUCAGUUUAAGAAUUACACCUGAUCUUCCUGUUUCUGUCCAGACUAAGAGGAUCCAGUAGACUUGAUAGGAAACCGACGUUGAAGACCAUGUGACGGCAGGAAUGGAUGUGGGCAUUCUCAUAAUUCCUGAUGGAGAUGAUGCCCUUGACUACUACGUGGUGCUGGAGGAACAGAUUGCCCUGAGAGAUGCCGUAGACCUCCCUCAUGCUGCCGCUCUACUAGUCGGGCUGAUUUUUGCGCUUAAUAUUGAUUAUCCCAAAAAACUACGCUACACAUUUGAGGUCAUUCAAAAGAUUUUCAUUGACCUUGGAGGUGAUCAGUGUUCUGGUGCAUGGACUGAAAAAUAGACUACUUCGCAAAACUGUGUAGUGUCCUAACUGAAAGGUAUAUGAUGUGUGCCUUUUUGUUCAUGAUUUAGCCUGGUGAAUUUCUGGUUGUUUUAAAACGAUGAAUGUUCAAUUCUUGACGUGGUACUUUAUGCAGUGCUAAUAUAUGUAACUCAAUAUAAAAAUAUCUUGUUUGAUUUUUAGACACUUGUUUUCUGUUUAUACAGUGUUAUUGUUAAUGUACAUUAAGUCAAGUCACCUUUAUUUAUAUAGCGCUUUUAACAAUACAGAUUGUGUCAAAGCACUUAACAGUAUCAAAUUGGAGGACAGAGUGUCAGUAAUGUAUAAUGAUAAGAUUAAACACUCAAUUUUCAGUUAAAGUCAUUUCAUUAUUGAGUUCAGAGAUGUCAUUGUGUAGCUCAGUUUAGUUUAAAUAGUAUCUGUGCAAUGAAA
Molecule: long non-coding RNA, 1025 nt
Organism: Onychostoma macrolepis
Lineage: Eukaryota; Metazoa; Chordata; Actinopteri; Cypriniformes; Cyprinidae
Exons: 4
Source: RefSeq, a predicted model, not a curated record